Molecule: ribosomal RNA, 497 nt
Filed under: uncultured bacterium
Lineage: Bacteria
Description: partial 16S ribosomal RNA
Rfam family: Bacterial small subunit ribosomal RNA
Source: RNAcentral
GAUGAACGCUGGCGGCGUGCCUAAUACAUGCAAGUCGAGCGAACGGACGAGAAGCUUGCUUCUCUGAUGUUAGCGGCGGACGGGUGAGUAACACGUGGAUAACCUACCUAUAAGACUGGGAUAACUUCGGGAAACCGGAGCUAAUACCGGAUAAUAUUUUGAACCGCAUGGUUCAAAAGUGAAAGACGGUCUUGCUGUCACUUAUAGAUGGAUCCGCGCUGCAUUAGCUAGUUGGUAAGGUAACGGCUUACCAAGGCAACGAUGCGUAGCCGACCUGAGAGGGUGAUCGGCCACACUGGAACUGAGACACGGUCCAGACUCCUACGGGAGGCAGCAGUAGGGAAUCUUCCGCAAUGGGCGAAAGCUUGACGGAGCAACGCCGCGUGAGUGAUGAAGGUCUUCGGAUCGUAAAACUCUGUUAUUAGGGAAGAACAAAUGUGUAAGUAACUAUGCACAUCUUGACGGUACCUAAUCAGAAAGCCACGGCUAACUACGUG